UUGGAGGGCAAGUCUGGUGCCAGCAGCCGCGGUAAUUCCAGCUCCAAUAGCGUAUAUUAAAGUUGUUGCAGUUAAAAAGCUCGUAGUUGAAUUUCGGGGUUCUACCGUCGGUCGGGCUACCAAGUCUGUACUGGUGUGUAGAACUUCUACCUUCUGGGGAACCAUCAUGUUAUUAAUUUAGCGUGGUGGGAAACCAGGACCUUUACCUUGAAAAAAUUAGAGUGUUCAAAGCAGGCUUAUGUCUGAAUACAUUAGCAUGGAAUAAUAGAAUAGGACGGUGGUCCUGUUUUGUUGGUUUCUGAAUCACCGUAAUGAUUAAUAGGGAUAGUUGGGGGCAUUAGUAUUCAAUUGUCAGAGGUGAAAUUCUUGGAUUUAUUGAAGACUAACUUCUGCGAAAGCAUUUGCCAAGGAUGUUUUCAUCAAUCAAGAACGAAAGUUAGGGGAUCGAAGACGAUCAGAUACCGUCGUAGUCUUAACCAUAAACUAUGCCGACUAGGGAUCGGACGAUGUUAAAUUUUAUUGACUCGUUCGGCGCCUUACGGGAAACCAAAGUGUUUGGGUU
RNAcentral lists this ribosomal RNA (562 nucleotides) under Glomeromycotina sp. Its description in RNAcentral is "SSU rRNA". It matches the Rfam family "Eukaryotic small subunit ribosomal RNA", at positions 548 to 1113 of the family's 1831-position model. The record is from RNAcentral. Lineage: Eukaryota; Fungi; Glomeromycota.